This 377-nucleotide long non-coding RNA is filed under the name Ananas comosus (pineapple). RNAcentral describes it as "long non-coding RNA (ACOM_LNC023137)". The record is from RNAcentral. Lineage: Eukaryota; Viridiplantae; Streptophyta; Magnoliopsida; Poales; Bromeliaceae.
AUGAACCUUAAAUAGUGAAAAUUGAAAUUUCUAAUUUGAUUGCCGAUUGUAUCUAGUGUAGACCUGACAAACGGGCGAGUUAGGUAACCUGCGGGGGAGGGGGGUCAUUGUACCCGUGGGUUACUUGGGCAUGGGUAAAAUUUAUCUGUAAAUUUUUGGGUAGCCAACACCUUUAACCAUACCCGCCCACGAGUGGGUGGUUGGGAAUGCGGGUUACCCGUAAUUUUUUUUCUUUUUUGCUCUUAUAUUUUUAAAAUGUAAAACACAUAUAUAUAAAUUUUAAAAGCCUAAUAUAACUCAUUAUUUAAAAUAUCAUUACAUACAAUAAAAAUAUUUAAAGUUUUAAAAUAAAAAUAUUUCAUAAUAUAAAAGACACG